AUGGCGAAUCUGCGGCUCCAUGGCACCAUCAAUGCUACCAUCGUGGGGGCCGACAACAUCCACGAUCGCUCCCGCCACACCGGCAUCGUCCCCAGUUUCCUCGGCAAUAUUGUGCAAGGUGUCCAGGAGACGACGGGUUUGGGCAAGGGCCUGCCGCGGGUGUACGCGGCCAUCUACCUCGGCAGUGCAUGCGUCGCCCGGACGCGUACCAUAGCCGUCCCUUCAACGGGAAUCGCGCGAUGGAACGAGCCGCUCCGCGCCUACUGCGCCCACCACGCCGCCGACGUCGUCAUCUCGGUCAUGAUCGAGCAGCUCGGCCUCGCCGAUGACACAGUCCUCGGCAGCGCCUACCUGCCCGCUCUGGAGCUCCUCAACAGCGACGACACGAUCGACCGCUGGUUCGACGUCCUUGGCGCCAACAGGAAGAAGCUCUGGGAUGGGCCCAAGAUACAGGUGCAGAUCAACUUCCGCGAUGUCGCUGACCAAGGCCUGGCGUGGGGCGGCGGUGUCGGCGUUGGCGGCGCCAAGGUGCCCCAUACCUUCUUUUCGCAGAGGACGGGGUGCAAGGUCACCCUGUACCAGGACGCGCACGCGUCUGAGGAGUUCGACCCCAAGAUCCAGCUCGACGGCGGCGGGCUCUACAAGCCUGGGCACUGCUGGGAAGACCUGUACGACGCCAUCAGCAAUGCACGGCAUCUGGUGUACAUCACCGGCUGGUCGGUGUUCCCCCACAUCACGCUGGUGCGGGACGGGGAGCAGCAGGAAACCCUCGGCGAGCUCCUGAAGCGCAAGGCCAGCGAGGGCGUGCACGUGCUCCUGCUGGUGUGGAACGACGUCUCCUCCAUCGAAGGCGUGUAUGAAGCCGGCCUCUUGGACACGAGGGAUGAGCUGACGGAAAAGUACUUCCGCGGCAGCCGCGUGCAGUGCGUCCUCUGCCCGAGGAACAUGUACCUCAGAGGCUACAUCUUCGACGCCAAGAGACCUACCGACUCCAUCUUUUACAGCCACCACCAGAAGGCAAUCGUCGUCGACCAGGAGCUGCCUUCGUCGUCGUUGUCGGACGGGCGCCGCCAGAUCGUCAGCUUCCUCGGCGGCCUCGACGUGAGCUAUGGACGCUACGACACGCAGUCCCACUCCCUGUUCAGGACGCUGGGCACGGGGCAGGCGCACAGCAAGGACUUCAACCAAACCAACUUCAGGGACGAGGGUGCGACGCUCGAGAAGGGCGGGCCCAGGGAGCCAUGGCACGACAUCCACGCCAAGGUCGAGGGCCCUGUGGCAUGGGACGUGCUCCACAACUUCGAGCAACGAUGGAGGAUACAAGGCGGUGACAAGGAGCACCUGGUCGACCUUGUAGCCAUCGAGGGCAAGGUCGCACCGUCCUCAUUGCCAGUGACACUCCCCGGCGACCAGGAGGCGUGGAGUGUGCAGCUGUUCCGGUCCAUCGACAACAUGGCCACCGUGGGCUUCCCCGACUCCAUGGAGGCUACCUACGAGGCCGGCCUCGUCCAGGACAAGCACCAUGUGUUCGAGAGGAGCAUCCAGGACGCCUACAUCCAUGCCAUACGUGCCGCAAAGAGCUUCAUCUACAUCGAGAACCAGUACUUCAUCGGCAGUUCCUUCCAGUGGAAGUCCGGCGUCGGCAUAGAUCCGGCGGCAGUCCAGGCGAAUCACACGAUCCCCAGAGAGCUGUCUCUCAAGAUCGUGAGGAAGAUCGAGGCCGGUGAGCGCUUCGCGGUCUACGUCGUGGUCCCCAUGUGGUCGGAAGGCUACCCUACGCAUAUGUACAGGCAGGCGAUGCUGGACAACCAGAGGAGGACCAUGUCCAUGAUGUACAACGACAUCGCCGCUGCGCUGCAGGCCAAGAACAUAGACGCCGAUCCCAGGGACUACCUUACCUUCUUCUGCUUAGGGAACCGCGAGGCGAGGAACCCAGAGGGCGGCGAGUACCAGCCUGCGAAAAGCCCAGAGGACGGGACGGACUAUGCCAAGGCGCAGAAUGCACGCCGGUUCAUGAUCUACGUUCACUCCAAGAUGAUGAUAGUUGAUGACGAGUACAUCAUUGUCGGAUCUGCCAACCUCAAUGAGCGGUCCAUGGCGGGGAACAGGGACACCGAGAUCGCCAUUGGCACGUACCAGCCGCACCGCAUCAACACCGGUACUGAGCUCGCCAAAGGGCACGUCCAUGGCUUCCGGAUGUCGCUCUGGUAUGAGCACCUCGGCAAGACGCACGACGACUUCCUCCGCCCGGGGAGCGUAGAAUGCGUGCGGAGGGUCAACAAGAUGGCCGAUGAGUACUGGAACCUCUACGUCGGCGACGAGCUUACGAGCGACCUCCCAGGCCACCUUCUCACCUACCCCGUCGCCGUAAGCAAGGCCGGCACGACCUGGAUGAUACCGGGAUUCGAAUUCUUCCCUGACACUCAGGCUCGCGUCCUUGGUAAGCCAACUGGACAUGACGAUUAUUUCAUGAGCACAUAG
RNAcentral lists this ribosomal RNA (2481 nucleotides) under Triticum aestivum (bread wheat). RNAcentral describes it as "partial small subunit ribosomal RNA". The record is from RNAcentral. Lineage: Eukaryota; Viridiplantae; Streptophyta; Magnoliopsida; Poales; Poaceae.